GCCUGGCUGGCUCAGCCGGUAAAGCGUGCGACUCUUGAUCUCGGGGUCUUGAGUUCGAGCCCCACGUUGGGCA
This 73-nucleotide transfer RNA is filed under the name Ailuropoda melanoleuca (giant panda). It matches the Rfam family "tRNA". Rfam says of the family: Transfer RNA (tRNA) molecules are approximately 80 nucleotides in length. Their secondary structure includes four short double-helical elements and three loops (D, anti-codon, and T loops). Further hydrogen bonds mediate the characteristic L-shaped molecular structure. tRNAs have two regions of fundamental functional importance: the anti-codon, which is responsible for specific mRNA codon recognition, and the 3' end, to which the tRNAs corresponding amino acid is attached (by aminoacyl-tRNA synthetases). tRNAs cope with the degeneracy of the genetic code in two manners: having more than one tRNA (with a specific anti-codon) for a particular amino acid; and 'wobble' base-pairing, i.e. permitting non-standard base-pairing at the 3rd anti-codon position. The record is from Rfam by way of RNAcentral. Lineage: Eukaryota; Metazoa; Chordata; Mammalia; Carnivora; Ursidae.